AAUAUUGCACAAUGGGCGAAAGCCUGAUGCAGCAACGCCGCGUGAGCGAUGAAGGCCUUCGGGUUGUAAAGCUCUGUCUUCGCUGACGAUAAUGACGGUAAGCGAGGAGGAAGCCACGGCUAACUACGUGCCAGCAGCCGCGGUAAUACGUAGGUGGCAAGCGUUGUCCGGAAUUACUGGGCGUAAAGAAUGCGUAGGCGGUCUUUUAAGUGGGAUGUGAAAUCCCUGGGCUCAACCCAGGAACUGCAUUCCAAACUGGAAGACUAGAGUGCGGGAGAGGAAAUUGGUAUUCCCAGUGUAGCGGUGAAAUGCGUAGAGAUUGGGAGGAACACCAGUAGCGAAGGCGAAUUUCUGGAACGUAACUGACGCUGAGGCAUGAAAGCGUGGGGAGCAAACAGG
Molecule: ribosomal RNA, 399 nt
Filed under: uncultured bacterium
Lineage: Bacteria
Description: partial 16S ribosomal RNA
Rfam family: Bacterial small subunit ribosomal RNA
Source: RNAcentral